UUAUUAUGAGAGUUUGAUCCUGGCUCAGGACGAACGCUGGCGGCGUGCCUAAUACAUGCAAGUCGAACGCUUCUUUCCUCCCGAGUGCUUGCACUCAAUUGGAAAGAGGAGUGGCGGACGGGUGAGUAACACGUGGGUAACCUACCCAUCAGAGGGGGAUAACACUUGGAAACAGGUGCUAAUACCGCAUAACAGUUUAUGCCGCAUGGCAUAAGAGUGAAAGGCGCUUUCGGGUGUCGCUGAUGGAUGGACCCGCGGUGCAUUAGCUAGUUGGUGAGGUAACGGCUCACCAAGGCCACGAUGCAUAGCCGACCUGAGAGGGUGAUCGGCCACACUGGGACUGAGACACGGCCCAGACUCCUACGGGAGGCAGCAGU
Molecule: ribosomal RNA, 377 nt
Filed under: Campylobacter jejuni
Lineage: Bacteria; Pseudomonadati; Campylobacterota; Epsilonproteobacteria; Campylobacterales; Campylobacteraceae
Description: bacterial SSU rRNA
Rfam family: Bacterial small subunit ribosomal RNA
Source: RNAcentral